This 392-nucleotide ribosomal RNA is filed under the name uncultured bacterium. Its description in RNAcentral is "partial 16S ribosomal RNA". It matches the Rfam family "Bacterial small subunit ribosomal RNA", at positions 523 to 918 of the family's 1533-position model. The record is from RNAcentral.
AUACGUAUGUCGCAAGCGUUAUCCGGAUUUAUUGGGCGUAAAGCGCGUCUAGGCGGCUUAGUAAGUCUGAUGUGAAAAUGCGGGGCUCAACCCCGUAUUGCGUUGGAAACUGCUAAACUAGAGUACUGGAGAGGUAGGCGGAACUACAAGUGGAGAGGUGAAAUUCGUAGAUAUUUGUAGGAAUGCCGAUGGGGAAGCCAGCCUACUGGACAGAUACUGACGCUAAAGCGCGAAAGCGUGGGUAGCAAACAGGAUUAGAUACCCUGGUAGUCCACGCCGUAAACGAUGAUUACUAGGUGUUGGGGGUCGAACCUCAGCGCCCAAGCUAACGCGAUAAGUAAUCCGCCUGGGGAGUACGUACGCAAGUAUGAAACUUAAAUGAAUUGACGGGG